Molecule: ribosomal RNA, 406 nt
Filed under: uncultured bacterium
Lineage: Bacteria
Description: partial 16S ribosomal RNA
Rfam family: Bacterial small subunit ribosomal RNA
Source: RNAcentral
AUUGAACGCUGGCGGCAGGCCUAACACAUGCAAGUCGAACGAGUGGCGGACGGGUGAGUAAUGUCUGGGAAACUACCUGAUGGAAGGGGAUAACUACUGGAAACGGUAGCUAAUACCGCAUCCCAUCGGAUGUGCCCAGAUGGGAUUAGCUAGUAGGUGGGGUAAAGGCUCACCUAGGAGACGAUCCCUAGCUGGUCUGAGAGGAGGAACAGCAAGACUGGACCUGAGACACGGUCCAGACUCCUACGGGAGGCAGCAGUGGGGAAUAUUGCACAAUGGGCGCAAGCCUGAUGCAGCCAUGCCGCGUGUGUGAAGAAGGCCUUCGGGUUGUAAAGCACUUUCAGCGGGGAGGCGUUACCCGCAGAAGAAGCACCGGCUAACUCCGUGCCAGCAGCCGCGGUAAUAC